This is a long non-coding RNA of Myodes glareolus (Bank vole), 904 nucleotides long. RefSeq lists it as uncharacterized. The record is from RefSeq and is a predicted model, not a curated record. NCBI's taxonomy places the organism in Eukaryota, Metazoa, Chordata, Mammalia, Rodentia, Cricetidae.
CAUCACUGAAGAAGCAACAUGUAAGCUGCCCCUGCUGAGAAAGGGGCAUUUAUUCCGCAUGUUUGGAUGUGUAUCACGCGCAUGCCCAGUACUCAUGGAGGACAGAAGAGGGCAUUAGAUCCCCUGGAACCCGGGUCACCAUGUUGGUGCUGGGAGCUGAACCUGGGUCCUCCGCAAGAACAGCAAGUGCUCUUAACCUCUGAGCCAUUUCUCCAGCUCUGGAUCUCAUAAUUUAAAAAGUGAAGGGAUGGACUCCUGGCAAUUCAGAACGAAGUGUGCUUCCUUCCUGGAAGAUUCGGAAGAGCGACAGGGAAGCCACUUCUUACUUUAGAAGCGGCACACCUCCCCCAGUUAGAAUGUCCAUCAUCAAGAAAACAAUGACAGUACAUGCUGUCCAGGGUGUGCUGGUGGAAGACCACCAUUCGCUGUGGUGGGAGUUUAAACGUGGGCAACCACUGUGGAAAUCAGUACGGAAGUUCCUGAAAAACUGAAGAAGGAGCUACAAUAUAUGGCCCAUCUGUACUAUUUUGCUUAUAUGUUGGGACUCUGUCACCGUACCAAGAGGUACUCAUGCAGCCAUGUUUAUAGAUAUACUGCUUACAACAGCCAAGAAAGUGGGGAAUCCUAGAGUCCUGCCUGCAGACAGGUGGGUAAGAAAACGGGCUAUAUAUGCACAGCGGAAUUUUAUGUAACCAUGAGUUUAAAUGAAACCAUGGCAUCUGCCGGAAACUGGAUGCAAGUGGAAAUGACGUUAGCUGAAUGAGCCGAACAAAUAGUGUUGUGGAAUAUUAUUUUAACUGAGCAAAGAUGUGCUACCUUUGUUUAUGCAGUGAAUAUGACUUAGCUAUGUGAAGAUGUGUUAUAUUUGUUUCUGCUGCCUUUGUUAAUGAUAUAAAGAUGGGUU